GCCCUCAGGGGGAUGACGACCCCCCGGUUUGAGCGGGAUUGCUGGGAGAGAGGUUUCGCCCCGUUUGAGAGUGACCCCCGAUCGCUGGGAGAUGGUGUCAUCUAUGGACGGGGGGAAGAAGCGGCUGGGGAACACGGCGGGGGAGACCCUCAGCAGCGCCCCAGGACACCCGGCUGCCUCCCAGAGCCCCCGCUCCAGCCCCUUUGUUUCGCUCUCGGGCUGCUCCCUACGCCGCUCAGGGCUCGCGGCCUCACCUUCCUUCUAAACACCAGCUGAAAUGCUGUUCCGGCAAAACCAUGCCCUCACGAUGACACAAUUGUUCAAGGAAAACAUUUCCCUGUUUUUUUUCCUGGCACGUGUCUAGGCAGUUUCCUGACCGGAGUAGUGACCACAGCCAGAGGCCACACGUGGCCACUCGGGCAGUGACGGCGGGAUACCCUUCACCUCGGCUUUGUGGGCUCCAGGUCUCCCCUACUUCUUCCCUGGAGGAGUGUUUAUCCAGCUAAAAGAUUAGUGCGUCUGCAGUAUCACAGAGGGAGCAGCAGCAAGACUGAGACAAUGGACCUCAGGGAAAUGCAGUGGUGCAUGAUGACUAGAGCACACCCAGGGGUGUUAAGCAUCCAAUGAUGAGCACUUAAAUAGCAUCAGGAGGAAUAAAGCUGGAUGCAGAAUCUCCUAGGAAGGGCUAUUUUCCCGUUCUGAGUUUCCCACAGCCGAUAAUGCUGCCACCAUUGAGUGCCCCCAGUGAGUGGCUAUGUGACAAGAAGAAGAGGAGGGUAGCUCCUUGCUGGUCUACAAAGGAGGCCUUUGCUUCCCUUGAUUUGCUCUGCAUAGUAGAAGUAAAACAUCUUAUUUUCAUUGUUACAAAUAACUCUAUUCGUUCUGAACUGAACACUAAUGGAGGAAGGCCUAAAAAUACACCAAAGCUAUUUUUUAUCAGUUUGGAUGGAAAUCACUUUCUCCUUUUCUUCUUCUAAUGCCUGCGAGCUCUUGCCAUAAGUUCUAAAGAGCAGUAGUCGAUGGUGGUACCAUUGUGAGUGCCAUCCAGCUCCAAAACCCCCUGAGACUGGUGGGGAAUACUGCCCAAUCGAAGAGAUUCCCUGGGACAGGGUUUUAACAUGGACUGCAGGGAGUGAAGAUGAUGACUUGGUGUUAGAGGAGGGAUGCUGUUCCCUGGGAGCAAUGUGGGGUGAAGCACUAGUCCAUAGUCCCCAUCUUCUUCACGUCCAAGAGUCCCUCCAGUUCAUGGUAUGUUUUGCAUUGGAGAAUCAGUGUCAUGUCACCAAAAUGGUGACAGAUGGUUUGGGGGCAGGGAAUGCAUUUGCAGAACCUUUCUGUAAAUUCCACAUGUCCUCAAAUUUGCCACAGGCCAUCAAGCUUCCAGGGCAGUGGCCUGAGGUCCCACCUGGGUCAGCAAACUGGCAAGG
This is a long non-coding RNA of Cyanistes caeruleus (blue tit), 1427 nucleotides long. RefSeq lists it as uncharacterized. NCBI's taxonomy places the organism in Eukaryota, Metazoa, Chordata, Aves, Passeriformes, Paridae. The record is from RefSeq and is a predicted model, not a curated record.